This 3803-nucleotide long non-coding RNA is filed under the name Lupinus angustifolius (narrow-leaved blue lupine). RNAcentral's name for it is "long non-coding RNA (LANG_LNC001866)". The record is from RNAcentral. Lineage: Eukaryota; Viridiplantae; Streptophyta; Magnoliopsida; Fabales; Fabaceae.
AAUAAAUAGAAUAUUUGACUUUUGGUCAUCCUAAAAAUACAGUAAAAACACCAAUACCUUGUUAGUUUUUUGGUACAAAAAUAAGAUUAUUAGUAAAUUCCCAGGAGUUAAAAUGCAUUAUAAUUUAUACAAUCACUAACAAUAAGUAUGUGCAUAACUUUAGCUUACCUCACUUCUCUUCUUCCAUCACCAAAGUUUCUCCCCCAUCAUGGCUUUGAGCUUCUUCUUCAGCCCUUUCCAAAUAUGCAUCCUCCUUCUUCCUUUUCGUCUCAAUUAUCUCCUUGCCCGCGCCUUGCAAUUGAUUCACUUCCUUCCGGAUUCACGAUUCAACUUUCCUUUUCCCCUUGUCCAACAUAGCAUGAUCUCCACCUUCUGAUCCUAAACUCACAGAAGUACGUUGCAUCGAAGCCUUAUGUAGGACUUCUUAUUGUUAUACUUUUCUUCUUAGCUUACGAAAUUUGAAUGAGUGAUUUUUUGAAAUAGAGAAAAGAUGGUGAGAAAUUAGGGUUUGAGAGAUUGAAUUGUAAGAAAAAACAGAUUAAAUGAGUUAUCGCGAGAUUGAGAUGAAAUCAAUGAGAAAACGUAGAACAAGUUGUGGAAGACGACAUAGAAAAAGUGGAGGAGACGAAUUUGACGCAUGAUGUUAGAAAGGGUUAGAGAAAUUUCGUAAACAUUGAAGGUUAGAUUGGUUUCAAAUGAACCAUCAACGUUCAAAGCUUCUUCGUGAGUUAUGUUUCUUUCGUUAUACAUUUACAUCCUCUUCCUUGAUUGCUUCUUCUUCAGAAGUAUACUAACAUGAUUUUUCUUUUUCCAUUUUAUAAUUUUGCUUCAAAUUUUAGGAAAUAUGAUUCUAUUAAUCCCAAUCCUUAAUUUUUGCCCGAUAAGCCAAUGCAAGUAAUCUUUUAAUCUUAUUAUCAUCUCAUAAGUAAUAUUAUUGUUUAUUGUUAUAGUUUAAGACUCAGUUUGACUUAGUAUUGAAUCUUAUUACACUUUAAGACUUGAUGUUACAUUGUUGAAGUAUCAGUUACAAACUACAAUAUAUGAUAGGUUUGGUUGCACAUAUGCUCAAAUUCUGGAUGAAUGAAUCACUGGCUUCUGUAUUUGGGUAUUACUAUUGCUUGAGUGGAGCUACGUUUCUUUAGAGUGAAGCUUUGAUACGUUAGCAAAGUAAACUCUAGAUAAAUGAACAUCGGCUUCUGUAUUUUGGUAUUACUAUUGACUUGCAUUAAAAGCUUGCCUUUUUUGCUUUAAACACUUGAUUUCUUAAGGCUUUAUAUUUGGGGUUGAGCCUUACUGUGUUAUCCGUAGCAUUGAAGAAAAGAAAGAAGCACAUGAAAAAUUCAUUGGACAACUUUUUGAUCCUGCAUCUGGAGUGUUGAAUGAGGGCACAAUGAGACUUACUUCACCACUCAUUUGUAUUUAGGUAGCUUUUAAGUUGAAAUACGUUUGUUUUUUAUAACUUUAAAAAUUUUGAACACAAUAUGGGAACUUAGAAAAUUUUGAACACGAUAUGGGAACUUAGAAAAUUUUGAGGUUUUGACUUGCUUUCUAAUGAAAUGAGUAAUUUUUGUUGUUUUGUAUCCUUGUUUAGGGAAUUUACUGGCAUAGAUAUUGUGUUUCUACACACCACCUCAUAUCUGCAUGAUUUUUGUAAUUUGAUUAUAUUUGGAUUUUUUUGUUUAUUUUCUUCAUAUACGUACUAUGAUUUUCUCGCCUCAUAUGUGACAUGUAUUUUUAGGAGAUGUGUCUUGAUUGUCUUAAUUCUUAACCUAUAAGUACCUUCAUUUGACAAUCCCAAUCAUGCUGUUAUUUUAAUCUGGAUUCUCCAAAUUUAAUGUCUAUAUAUAUCCUCUACCUAAUUUGUUGGAACUGAGUUUCAAUUGAACCUGACUUUUAUAUUUUUAUGAAACAUGCAAUAUCAUUCUCUGAUUUUUUUCUUGUCAGAUAUUUUAACUUCCAUGUUAAAGGUUUGCUUCCUCAUUUGUAAUGUUAUCUUUCUCUAGAAAAAAUGUGUCCUCUUUGAUGUUAAUCUUUAUUCUGAAACUCUUAUUCCCUUCUUCUUUGAGCUCAUGGGCUCUUUACAAAAAAAUUGGGGAAUCCAAUUCCACCCCAUUGUGUUAUGAAAAUGCAGCUUGCAAGGACAUAGUCCAUUUCAAGGUAUUAAUAAUGUUGCUUUACUUAUGAUCCCCUUCAUAAGAUUAUUUGACGAUGUGCUUAAUUUUUUGACUUAAGUAACUUUCAUAAAAUGCUUUUAGUUUGGAUAUUACGAAACCCGAUGAAAAAAGCAGUGGUCUAUUACCUAUGCUAACUGGCCUAGCCUCACGUAAACUUCAGGAACAUAAUCACCAUUUUUUGGCUGAUUAUGGAGGAUGGAUUGUGUUUUCCAAACUUGUUUUUGGUAACAUGGAUGGAUUUGCAUUAUGGCUUUAGGUGCUGUUUAUUAUGAAGGGUGGACUGUGUAUUCUAAAGCAUAAAGUUGGAGAUUGAUCAUUUAGUUACUAUGAUUUUCUUGUGUAUUGAAAUGGUGUUGAUAGAUAAUGUAGUAAUUAUGAUAUCGAUUCAUAAAAAUGCUUACUUUGAGUUUUGAUUAUGUCAUUGAUGGAUUGAGCAAAAUCUGUUUAAGAAAAUGCUUCAAUCAAUUACUCAUUGUGUUACCCACCAUUAAUCGUGUUCUGUAUCUUUUUAAUACAAUGUUGAGGUGGAAAUAUGCCUCCAAAUCAUAUAUCUGAUAUACAUAUUGUAGGUACAUUUCAAACAUUUGAACAAAAAAGUGGAUAAACGUUAUGAUCACCUAAGGUCAACUAGAUAGACCAAUUCCUUAUGAAGAUGAUGUGCUUUCUACUCCAAAUGUGUGUAGUGAUUUACUUUUCACUCUAUCCUGCUCUAAUAGAAGCUUGUAACUUCAUCCCUACACAUAGACACAUUUUGUAAAUUAUUUUUCACUCAUUCUUUUUGUUUCUAGUUUCCUGUUUUCCCUUAAAAUUUUCUGUGGGAAAAACAUUACUCAACCUUAACAUUGCUCAAAAUUAUUUGAAAGCAUUCUCAUCUAUAAAACCUACUUAUUUGAAAGCAACCUAAUAAAAUAAUAUUUUGACUUUAUCUCUUGUAUCUAGUGAUCUACUCUCCAUUAUAUGAUUUGAAUUGUAUGUUCAUGUUUGAGUCAAUGGUAUAAAGGAUAUUUUAUUUAUGAACACAAAUUUGAGUUGUUUUAGUAUUCUGGAAUAUUUCUUAUUUUAUCAAGUUCGAUACCACAGCAGGAAAAAGCUAGUAGAACAAUGACCACAUACUAGGGGACAAUGUGUUGACAUAUACUAUAUGUUGUUGCGUGCUUGAAUUCCUUUUAUACUUAUAUUUCAUUAUAGAAGUGAUGGGUUAGAUUUUAGCUAAUUGUUUUCCCUCAGGCCAGGCAAAGAAAAUGGUAAACAAUGCAACAUGGUAUCUGUUGAUAAUUCUAGCCGUGUUCCACAAUAGCCCCAUAGCCAAAAUGCUAAUCAUUAUUUGCCUCAUUUGAUUCUGGUAAAUGGCUAACUGCCUUUUAAUUCUUGUUAUCAGACUAGCUCUUUACACGUUCACCUAGGAAGAAGCUUGGAAGUUUUUGCUAGGGGAACCUGUGAUUAAUUAGGUAGUUUUGUUGUGUGAUAGAUAAACAUUUAUUUUGAUUCAUGAUGCAUACCCUUGUAAAUAUUUACAUCUAAGUAUAGUAUGCAUAUCGUAUGAUGGUGGGUUGGGCAAAAUUGCUAAACAAUCCAUAUGACUUGCAACACCGAGAAGAUUGCCAUGUGCCCCCAAUGCCCAAUACAGCC